UACAGAGGGGGCAAGCGUUGUUCGGAAUUACUGGGCGUAAAGGGCUCGUAGGCGGCCGCCUAAGUCAGACGUGAAAUCCCUCGGCUUAACCGGGGAACUGCGUCCGAUACUGGUUGGCUUGAGUUUGGGAGAGGGAUGCGGAAUUCCAGGUGUAGCGGUGAAAUGCGUAGAUAUCUGGAGGAACACCGGUGGCGAAGGCGGCAUCCUGGACCAACACUGACACUGAGGAGCGAAAGCCAGGGGAGCAAACGGG
This 253-nucleotide ribosomal RNA is filed under the name uncultured bacterium. RNAcentral's name for it is "partial 16S ribosomal RNA". It matches the Rfam family "Bacterial small subunit ribosomal RNA", at positions 524 to 776 of the family's 1533-position model. The record is from RNAcentral.